RNAcentral lists this non-coding RNA (260 nucleotides) under Limnospira indica PCC 8005. RNAcentral describes it as "Intron_gpI". It matches the Rfam family "Group I catalytic intron". Rfam says of the family: Group I catalytic introns are large self-splicing ribozymes. They catalyse their own excision from mRNA, tRNA and rRNA precursors in a wide range of organisms. The record is from RNAcentral. Lineage: Bacteria; Bacillati; Cyanobacteriota; Cyanophyceae; Oscillatoriales; Sirenicapillariaceae.
GCAAGCGCCUCCUGAAGAAUCGGGCACCAUGUGGGGAAACCCCUUGUGUGAAUGUGGUCAAACUCAAGGAAGCCUAAGUUUAUGUGAACCAUGAAUAAGGUAAUCUUGAGCCAAGCUCUAACCCCUACGGUUGGAGAAGGUGCAGAGACUGGUUUUGGGAGUUGGAUUAAACGACUUCUUGAACAUAACGGCCACCACCUAAGAGCAUUCUAUGAGUGCUUAUGGUGAAGGGAUAGUCCAGAGAGUGGGGAAACUCACAC